CCGGUUGAUCCUGCCAGAGGCUACUGCUAUCGGGGUCCGACUAAGCCAUGCGAGUUGAGAGGGGUAAGCCCUCGGCAUAUUGCUCAGUAACACGCGGAUAACCUGCCCUUGGGUCCGGGAUAACCCCGGGAAACUGGGACUAAUACCGGAUAGAUCAAGGAUACUGGAAUGUUCUCUGGUCCAAAACUCCGGUGCCCAAGGAUGGGUCUGCGGCCUAUCAGGUAGUAGUGGGUGUAACGUACCUACUAGCCUACGACGGGUAAGGGUUGUGAGAGCAAGAGCCCUGAGAUGGAUUCUGAGACAUGAAUCCAGGCCCUACGGGGUGCAGCAGGCGCGAAAACUUUACACUGCGGGAAACCGCGAUAAGGGGACCCCGAGUGCCAGUACCUAGUGCUGGCUGUCCCGCUGUCCAAACAACAGUGGUUAGCAAGGGCCGGGCAAGACCGGUGCCAGCCGCCGCGGUAACACCGGCGGCCCGAGUGGUAGCCGUUAUUAUUGGGUUUAAAGGGUCCGUAGCCGGCUUAUUAAGUCUCUUGGGAAAUCUGGCGACUUAAUCGUCAGGCGUCCAAGAGAUACUGAUAGGCUUGGGACCGGGAGAGGUGGGAGGUACUCCAGGGGUAGGGGUGAAAUCUCGUAAUCCUUGGGGGACCACCGAUGGCGAAGGCAUCCCACCAGAACGGGUCCGACGGUGAGGGACGAAAGCUGGGGGCGCGAACCGGAUUAGAUACCCGGGUAGUCCCAGCUGUAAACGAUGCUCGCUAGGUGUCAGGUGCGGUGCGACCGCAUCUGGUGCCGUAGUGAAAACUUGAAGCGAGUCACCUGGGAACUACGGCCGCAAGGCUGAAACUUAAGGGAAUUGGCGGGGGAACACACAAGGGGUGGGCGUUGCGGUUCAAUUGGAUUCAACGCCGGG
This 913-nucleotide ribosomal RNA is filed under the name uncultured archaeon. Its description in RNAcentral is "bacterial SSU rRNA". It matches the Rfam family "Archaeal small subunit ribosomal RNA", at positions 4 to 922 of the family's 1478-position model. The record is from RNAcentral.